This is a long non-coding RNA of Chiroxiphia lanceolata (lance-tailed manakin), 108 nucleotides long. RefSeq lists it as uncharacterized. The transcript is spliced from 3 exons. Lineage: Eukaryota; Metazoa; Chordata; Aves; Passeriformes; Pipridae. The record is from RefSeq and is a predicted model, not a curated record.
AAUGGGGUCAUGAUGGUAUGUCGAGGACCAGGAAUCGGAAUGGGAACGAUUCCGGAGAUGGAAAAAUAUGUACAGCGAUUGAAUGGACUUUACACAUUGUGUGUUACC